NUGCUUUGGCAGAACAUAUACUAAAUUGGAAUGAUACAGAGAAGAUUAGUAUGGCCCUGCCCAAGGAUGACAAGCAAACCCCCUAUUUAAGCAUAAAAAAUUU
Molecule: small nuclear RNA, 103 nt
Filed under: Sorex araneus (European shrew)
Lineage: Eukaryota; Metazoa; Chordata; Mammalia; Eulipotyphla; Soricidae
Source: RNAcentral